This 445-nucleotide ribosomal RNA is filed under the name Spathulina sicula. RNAcentral describes it as "partial large subunit ribosomal RNA". Lineage: Eukaryota; Metazoa; Arthropoda; Insecta; Diptera; Tephritidae. The record is from RNAcentral.
AAUGAAAAUUUUUAAUGGCCGCAGUAAUUUGACUGUGCAAAGGUAGCAUAAUCAUUAGUCUUUUAAUUGAAGGCUUGUAUGAAUGGUUGGACGAAGUAUAAUCUGUUUCAUUUAAAUUUAUAAUAGAAUUUUAUAUUUUAGUAAAAAAGCUAAAAUUUUUUUAAAAGACGAGAAGACCCUAUAAAUCUUUAUAAUUUAUUUUAUUUUAAUUUUAUUGAUUAUUUUUUUUUUAAUAAUUUAAUUUAUUUUGUUGGGGUGAUAUUAAAAUUUAAUUAACUUUUAAUUUAAUUUACAUUAAUUUAUGAAUUAUUGAUCCAUUUAUAAUGAUUAUAAGAAUAAGUUACUUUAGGGAUAACAGCGUAAUUUUUUUGGAGAGUUCUUAUUGAUAAAAAAGUUUGCGACCUCGAUGUUGGAUUAAGAUAUAAUUUAGGUGUAGUUGCUUAAA